GGGGUUGUGGCUCAGUGGUAGAGUGCUCACCUAGCACGGGUGAGACCUGGGUUUGAUCCUCAGCACCACA
This 70-nucleotide transfer RNA is filed under the name Marmota monax (woodchuck). Its description in RNAcentral is "tRNA.Ala". The record is from RNAcentral. Lineage: Eukaryota; Metazoa; Chordata; Mammalia; Rodentia; Sciuridae.